Molecule: transfer RNA, 72 nt
Filed under: Camelus bactrianus (Bactrian camel)
Lineage: Eukaryota; Metazoa; Chordata; Mammalia; Artiodactyla; Camelidae
Also listed under: 2 other names
Rfam family: tRNA
About the family: Transfer RNA (tRNA) molecules are approximately 80 nucleotides in length. Their secondary structure includes four short double-helical elements and three loops (D, anti-codon, and T loops). Further hydrogen bonds mediate the characteristic L-shaped molecular structure. tRNAs have two regions of fundamental functional importance: the anti-codon, which is responsible for specific mRNA codon recognition, and the 3' end, to which the tRNAs corresponding amino acid is attached (by aminoacyl-tRNA synthetases). tRNAs cope with the degeneracy of the genetic code in two manners: having more than one tRNA (with a specific anti-codon) for a particular amino acid; and 'wobble' base-pairing, i.e. permitting non-standard base-pairing at the 3rd anti-codon position.
Source: Rfam by way of RNAcentral
GAGGGUAUAGCUCAGUGGUAGAGUGCAUGCUUAGCAUGCAUAAGGUCCUGGGUUCAAUUCCCAGUACUUCCA